RNAcentral lists this ribosomal RNA (445 nucleotides) under uncultured bacterium. Its description in RNAcentral is "bacterial SSU rRNA". It matches the Rfam family "Bacterial small subunit ribosomal RNA", at positions 330 to 792 of the family's 1533-position model. The record is from RNAcentral.
UCCAGACUCCUACGGGAGGCAGCAGUGGGGAAUAUUGCACAAUGGGGGGAACCCUGAUGCAGCGACGCCGCGUGGGUGAAGGAGCACCUCGGUGCGUAAAGCCCUAUCGGCAGGGAAGAAACAGACGGUACCUGACUAAGAAGCCCCGGCUAACUACGUGCCAGCAGCCGCGGUAAUACGUAGGGGGCAAGCGUUAUCCGGAUUCACUGGGUGUAAAGGGAGCGUAGACGGCGACGCAAGUCUGGAGUGAAAGCCCGGGGCCCAACCCCGGGACUGCUCUGGAAACUGCGUCGCUGAAGUACGGGAGGGGCAGGCGGAAUUCCUGGUGUAGCGGUGAAAUGCGUAGAUAUCAGGAGGAACACCGGCGGCGAAGGCGGCCUGCUGGACCGUGACUGACGUUGAGGCUCGAGAGCGUGGGGAGCAAACAGGAUUAGAUACCCCAGUA